Non-coding RNA from Macaca mulatta (Rhesus monkey), 543 nucleotides. The record is from RefSeq and is a predicted model, not a curated record. Lineage: Eukaryota; Metazoa; Chordata; Mammalia; Primates; Cercopithecidae.
GCCAGCCUGGCCUCCCCGCUUCUGGUGCUUAACAGAGACAAGGCGAGAUGGGCUCAUUUGUGGCUGCAGGUCUUCCACGGCGGGCACGGUACCAAGACUGAAGAGCCUAAUUAAAAUGAAAACCCUCGUUCCUCAGGAGAGGCUAUCUUAUUUCUGAGCAGUCAAGUGUUUCUGACUGUCUUCCAAAGAAAAAUAUACAUCCAGACAUGUUAACAAAUGGAAUGCUAUGACCUCUGCAAUGGGCUUCAAAAUGAUUUAGAUAGAGGAAGAGGAUGGAGGCAUAGAGACAAGACUGGCCAUGAGCUGGUAGCUGGUAACUGUGGCAUCUGGAUGACAGGUGAGGUCAACCCCUCCAUUCUGCAACCCGAAGACCAAGACCCAAGUGCCAGGACACGUCCUGCUUUCCACCGGACCAAGAGCGUGGAGGGAAGCCCUGGCACUACACGGGCUCCAGGCUUGAAUGCCUGAACACUGCCAAAUACAAAGGGCUGGAAACUUUAAGAGCACACAGGCAAGACAGUAACUAAAAACCCUAUGAACUAA